Molecule: long non-coding RNA, 1161 nt
Organism: Pezoporus occidentalis (night parrot)
Lineage: Eukaryota; Metazoa; Chordata; Aves; Psittaciformes; Psittacidae
Exons: 4
Source: RefSeq, a predicted model, not a curated record
UUUUAUCACUUUUCUGACCUGCUGGGAGAAUUUUUUUAAACAAGUUAAAAACUGAAGAGUUCAGUAUUUUUGGAUUUUUUCAUUUCCAAUUUGGGGAAAAAAAAAGCCAACUGUUUUUCUAUUCAAUCUCCUUUAUUCUGUGUCCAAAAGCGGAUGUGAUGGUAAGGAAAAUGAGUAGCUUGAGUGUCAUGAUCUCAUUAAAGAAAAAUAGAGGGGUUUUGGGGGGUUUUUUGGGUUUGUUUUUUUUUUUUUUUUUGAGAGGGCAAAGUCAUUAAAACCAUGUUUUGUUAAAAAUACUAGAAGAAUAAAUUGGAACAGGUAUACUUACGCGAUUUGUCAUAUGACAUCUACAUACAGUGGGUGACCUUUAAAAUUUAAGCUGCAUACUUGAAUACAAAGUCUCCCAUUAUAAAAGAGAAAAUGUGAUAGGAGCUGGCAGAGCUACUGUGCUGGUGGGAUGUUUAAUGUUCAUCUUCUGCAAGCACUGCUCAGCAGAUUUGAUCCAUGGUACUAACAAAAGCAGUGCUUUCCCCUUCAAAUGUAUCAUUCAAAUUAACACUGCUGCUUCCCUGCUGCCUCCUGCAUGUUACACUAUAGGGACUCCUUGACUAGGCACCCUGACUCAUGGCCCCUUGCACUGAGUUACCACCUACCCUGCCCUCAGCAGCUCCACGCAGCAGAAUUUUGGCAUGGUUGAGCUCAGCUCUGGGGUAAGGUUAAGAGCUGCUGAACAGCACAUCCUCUUCCCAUCCAGCCCCUCCUGCAUGGGUCUCCUCCUUGCACCAGGUCAUGCAGCAUGUCUUCCGCUGCUGUGAUGGGGGAAACUACACCCACUGCCAGGUGAUUGAAAAGUAAGUUCGAUCUUCACAGUGUAGCUGACAACUUUGCAGUCCACGCUUUCAGUCAUGCAUUGAAUUUUACUGAAUUGUUUUGUAUGGAGCCAAAACCAACAAAUACCUCUUGCAGCAGAGCUGCACGAAGCUACCAGCUCAUCUGAGGAGCAUCUUUGUUGAGCAUCUGCAACAUCUGGAUGACAGCCUUUGCUCAGCACCUUCUGGACAUGGCAGAGAAAGGCUGUUUUGGAGAGGAGCUGGUUCGAGCUCAGAGAGUCAACAGUGGUUCUUCAUCUGCCUCUUCCCACCAGCAGCUCAGGGCAGGAGG